Tachysurus fulvidraco (yellow catfish) is the source of this 1063-nucleotide long non-coding RNA. RefSeq lists it as uncharacterized. The transcript is spliced from 3 exons. NCBI's taxonomy places the organism in Eukaryota, Metazoa, Chordata, Actinopteri, Siluriformes, Bagridae. The record is from RefSeq and is a predicted model, not a curated record.
UUCCUCUUUGUGUUAGCAUGAGCAUAAAUUCACUGCUCUGCUGCUGCCAGAUGUUUUUCUCUCACCGUGCCUCGUCGACAGCUCGCUGUCAUCGCCUCGUCACUUUGGCACAGUUGUCCCUGUCAGUUUGCUGCUGAUAUACAGUAGUGAACGUCGUCCCUGACCGAUGGCUAGCUGUGUUAGCAGAGCAGCGAGCGAUGCAGCAGGCUCUACAACUUUCUGGACUUGGCUACGCUGCUAAUUAGCUCUUUGGAGAGUUCUCCUUGUGGAAACAGUUAGACAGAGAGAGAGCCAGAGAGAGAGAGAGACUCGAGCGAAUGUGCAGGUUCACAGUGUGUGUGCAGGGGACGGCCGGAGGAAACAAACGUACCUAGCAUUAAGUGUAAAUAUUGUGCUAGAGGAAUAUGAAAGUAGCGCAAUGCCGACGUACAAAAAACACAGGGAGAAAAGAUCAAGAGCGGGUCUUACAUCAAGGAAGGACCCCGAGGAUGUCUUUGUUGUCAACUUCAGAAGGGAAGAGAGGAGCAGAGGAGGAAACUGGCAGAAGGGGAGAAGAUGCCAGAGAGAGGCUCAAAGGAGCGGCCCUGGCCGAGGUGAUCGGUAUUCCUCGCCAGUCUGCCUGCUGGCUCUGAAGUGAACGAAAGAAGCUGGCAGCCAAGCCAGAGGGCAUAACAGCACAAAUACACACACAUAUAUAUAUGCACACACAUACACACACAAACACACACACACACUCUAUAUACUACACACACACGAUUGGAGUGGGUACACACUUCACGAGUGCACUGAUACAUUCACACACCUUCCCUUUCUCUCUCUCUCUUACACACUGCAAAUACACUGCUUCUCUCUCUUCUCGCUCUCUCUGUCUCUCCCUCUCUCUCUCUCUCUUACUCUCUCUCUCUCUCUCUCUCUCUCUCACACACACACACACACACUUAACAAAUCAACACACUGCAUUUUUCCUAAUAACUCAUUCAAUCAAAUUUUUCCACCAAAGCAUCAAUUUUCAUCUCUCUUCUGUCCUGUGGUACACAUUAAAAUGCUGGACAUUUUUAAAAGA